UACAGAGGGGGCAAGCGUUGUUCGGAAUUACUGGGCGUAAAGGGCGCGUAGGCGGCCCGCUAAGUCGAACGUGAAAUCCCUGGGCUCAACCCAGGAACUGCGUCCGAUACUGGUGGGCUUGAAUCCGGGAGAGGGAUGUGGAAUUCCAGGUGUAGCGGUGAAAUGCGUAGAUAUCCGGAGGAACACCGGUGGCGAAGGCGACAUCCUGGACCGGUAUUGACGCUGAGGCGCGAAAGCCAGGGGAGCAAACGGG
RNAcentral lists this ribosomal RNA (253 nucleotides) under uncultured bacterium. RNAcentral's name for it is "partial 16S ribosomal RNA". It matches the Rfam family "Bacterial small subunit ribosomal RNA", at positions 524 to 776 of the family's 1533-position model. The record is from RNAcentral.